CAAAGCCCCAAAACAAAUAAGAAAGGAAUGUUUUGGCAGAUAUCUGCCUGAGGUUUGGAGUUGUUUACUCUCCAGUCACAUGGCAUUCAAUGCCACAGCAACUUGUGCUAAAGGCAAGAAAGUUAAAGGCAUCCUGCGGUUACAUCCCAAGGACUCAUCUCUUUUUUGCUGUGAUGCUUCAAUGCAGAGAAGCCUCCAGAGCACCAGGAAACCACACAGAAACAGGGAGUUGAGAAGACCCAAGAAAUGUCAGAUGCAACAAUAACCACAAUUACUUCCCAAGGAACAUUCAGUACAGCAACACUCCAUAUCCUUUUCUGCCACAACUGUUUUUCCACAGCAUCUGCCGGGGGCUGCCACUGCUGAGAAUGAUUCUGAAAGCUCAAGGUAUCCUGCAUGAGCUCAGCAAGCCAGGCUCACUGUUGGCAGUGGAGGAGAAAACCGAUACACUCUACUAAGGAUAGACCAAAGAGAGACUUCAUGCAACCAUGGGCUACAGCGCAGCCUAUGUCACUAAAGGCAAAACUCUUUCUCCUAAAUCAGUAUAAAACUCAUGACACCACUCCUGACUUUAAAAUAUUAUCAAUGAAAGAAGACAUGGGUUAACAAGAUUAACCAUAGAGGUGUUGCCACAUACCGAACUAUAUGACGGCAUCCUUUCAUGAAGGCAUAAAAACUCAGACAAGCGUUUUCACCGAAGCCCACCACUGAUGAGACACCCAAGCAGCUGCCUGUUGCUGCAGAUAAAAUGCUUGUCACUUCACAGCUGGCCCACCAAGUAAGAAGUCAGCUCAUAAUAAAUCCUUUUGCUGAGCCACCAAGAAGCCUGAAUUCAAUCUGAACAUGGAAUUUGAUGGGGUCCAAGCUGCCCAGGAAGGGAGGUGUCAAAAGCUGCUGGAUAAACUACUUUGCUGGAUCUAAUUGUUGAGUGGAUUAUUGUCAUUGGAUACUGCUGGGAACCAGGGAAAAAGCAGUCUUGAAGCCUUGGAUUUCUUAGCCUGCUCAAGGACAAGAAGAUUAAAAACCUGCAGGGUUCAUGGGAGACGUGUUGUUUUGCAGAAAAUACAUUUUUCAAAGAGGUGUUGCCUUCUUGGACCAAUGGGUCUUUUCUAUUCUGUUUUGCACAUACUACCCUAUAUAGUGUAGUGGUUUUUUUUAAAUAAAGCUCUCUUUUU
This is a long non-coding RNA of Oenanthe melanoleuca, 1175 nucleotides long. RefSeq lists it as uncharacterized. The transcript is spliced from 3 exons. The record is from RefSeq and is a predicted model, not a curated record. Lineage: Eukaryota; Metazoa; Chordata; Aves; Passeriformes; Muscicapidae.